UACGUAGGGCGCAAGCGUUGUCCGGAAUUAUUGGGCGUAAAGAGCUCGUAGGCGGUUUGUCGCGUCUGUCGUGAAAGCCCACGGCUUAACCGUGGGUCUGCGGUGGAUAUGGGCAGACUAGAGGCAGGUAGGGGAGAAUGGAAUUCCCAGUGUAGCGGUGAAAUGCGCAGAUAUCGGGAGGAACACCGGUGGCGAAGGCGGUUCUCUGGGCCUGUACUGACGCUGAGGAGCGAAAGCGUGGGGAGCGAACAGG
RNAcentral lists this ribosomal RNA (253 nucleotides) under uncultured bacterium. RNAcentral describes it as "partial 16S ribosomal RNA". It matches the Rfam family "Bacterial small subunit ribosomal RNA", at positions 524 to 776 of the family's 1533-position model. The record is from RNAcentral.